AUGGAGUCUGAUGACUCUCUGCAUACUACUCUUCUCAUUGAAACCAUGGCAUAUGAUCAGGAGCAGGGAGAGAAAGAAAAAGUUGUGGAAAUGGUGGGCCAACAUGAUUCGGCGCUGAAAGUGACCAGUGAGUACAUGGUGGAGUCCCCUGAGAUGAAUGCUAAGGUGAUUCCCACUCCCCCUUUAGUCACUGAGGAGAAUCUGCGCUUCAGUUUGAGGAAUGUGCAGAAUAAACUGGAGCGAGUGGAGGACAAGGCUACGGCUGCGGCAAAAAAGAGGAACAUGGAAGAUUGGUCACUUCCCUAUGAAAUAUUUAGGGGUGCCUGUGAGCUAUUCUAUACUCCGUGCUUUAGACUGGAGCUUUGUGGAUGA
This 372-nucleotide ribosomal RNA is filed under the name Triticum aestivum (bread wheat). RNAcentral describes it as "partial small subunit ribosomal RNA". The record is from RNAcentral. Lineage: Eukaryota; Viridiplantae; Streptophyta; Magnoliopsida; Poales; Poaceae.